RNAcentral lists this ribosomal RNA (253 nucleotides) under uncultured bacterium. RNAcentral's name for it is "partial 16S ribosomal RNA". It matches the Rfam family "Bacterial small subunit ribosomal RNA", at positions 524 to 776 of the family's 1533-position model. The record is from RNAcentral.
GACGUAGGGCGCGAGCGUUGUCCGGAUUUAUUGGGCGUAAAGAGCUCGUAGGCGGCUUGUCGCGUCGUCUGUGAAAACCCGCGGCUUAACUGCGGGCUUGCGGUUGAUACGGGCGGGCUAGAGUUCGGUAGGGGAGACUGGAAUUCCUGGUGUAGCGGUGAAAUGCGCAGAUAUCAGGAGGAACACCGGUGGCGAAGGCGGGUCUCUGGGCCAUAACUGACGCUGAGAAGCGAAAGCAUGGGGAGCGAACAGG